GCGCCUGUAGCUCAGCGGAUAGAGCGACUGCCUUCUAAGCAGUUGGUCGCAGGUUCGAUCCCUGCCAGGCGCG
Molecule: transfer RNA, 73 nt
Filed under: Nocardiopsaceae bacterium
Lineage: Bacteria; Bacillati; Actinomycetota; Actinomycetes; Streptosporangiales; Nocardiopsidaceae
Also listed under: 1 other name
Description: tRNA-Arg
Rfam family: tRNA
About the family: Transfer RNA (tRNA) molecules are approximately 80 nucleotides in length.
Source: RNAcentral